AAAGAGUGUAGAGGUUGCACUGAUUAACAGUACAUUGUCUGAUAUGACAGGAAUAGAUGAUGACAAUGGAAAGGAGUCGGUGCCGAAGCUGUAUUAACCUGUAUUAAUGCAAGCUGGGCAUAUAUAUAAUAUGUAUAUGACUGUCAUCGUAAGAUGGGGAGCUACCUAAAGU
The sequence is a regulatory RNA element, 172 nucleotides long. It matches the Rfam family "Lysine riboswitch aptamer". From Rfam's summary of the family: Riboswitches are metabolite binding domains within certain messenger RNAs that serve as precision sensors for their corresponding targets. Allosteric rearrangement of mRNA structure is mediated by ligand binding, and this results in modulation of gene expression. This family includes riboswitches that sense lysine in a number of genes involved in lysine metabolism, including lysC. The record is from Rfam.